AGUGAACGCUGGCGGUAGGCCUAACACAUGCAAGUCGAACGGCAGCACAGUAAAAGCUUGCUCUUACGGGUGGCGAGUGGCGGCCGGGUGAGGAAUACAUCGGAAUCUACUUUUUCGUGGGGGAUAACGUAGGGAAACUUACGCUAAUACCGCAUCCGACCUACGGGUGAAAGAAGGGGAUCUUCGGACCUUGCGCGAUUGAAUGAGCCGAUGUCGGAUUAGCUAGUUGGCGGGGUAAAGGCCCACCAAGGCGACGAUCCGUAGCUGGUCUGAGAGGAUGAUCAGCCACACUGGAACUGAGACACGGUCCAGACUCCUACGGGAGGCAGCAGUGGGGAAUAUUGGACAAUGGGCGCAAGCCUGAUCCAGCCAUGCCGCGUGGGUGAAGAAGGCCUUCGGGUUGUAAAGCCCUUUUGUUGGGAAAGAAAAGCAGCAGGUUAAUACCCCGCUGUUCUGACGGUACCCAAAGAAUAAGCACCGGCUAACUUCGUG
This 492-nucleotide ribosomal RNA is filed under the name uncultured bacterium. RNAcentral describes it as "partial 16S ribosomal RNA". It matches the Rfam family "Bacterial small subunit ribosomal RNA", at positions 29 to 507 of the family's 1533-position model. The record is from RNAcentral.